This 689-nucleotide long non-coding RNA is filed under the name Mytilus galloprovincialis (Mediterranean mussel). The record is from RNAcentral. Lineage: Eukaryota; Metazoa; Mollusca; Bivalvia; Mytilida; Mytilidae.
UUCUACACAGUUUAUUGAUAAGCAAGCAUUAAUGUAGUGAUGUACAAUAUAUUUCAGAAAAUGAUAAUUCAAGAAUUGUAUUUCUGGUAAGGAAAUAUGACCAUAGUCCAUUUUGUUCAUGAUAAAAUUCUUGAAAGACCCUUUAUCUAUUUGUUAGAGUAGAUUUAAAUAUUAGAUUCUCUUGCUGCAAACAAAAAUUCUGAAAAAAGGCAUUAUUGCAUGCAAAUGUAUUUUUUAUUGCCAGUAGAAUCAAAAUGGAUAGCCCAUUUUCAAAAAGUGUGUGUGUCAUAACGACAUGAUUAUUUCUAUUGCAACGAAUACAACUUUAAUUUAAAAAAGAUGUGGUGUGGUUGCCCAUGAGACAUCUAUCCUCCAGAGACCUAAUAAUGUAGAUGUUGAGUUCAAUUUAUCAUGCAAGAAGUUUACUAUCAAACAUUUAAAAAAAUGUAUUUUUUGAGGAUGUCAAUUUUUAAGGCCUCUAGAUGUGCAAGCUCACUAAGAUUUAGAAUUGUAUAUUCAUGUCUGCAAUUAACAAGGAAUUAUUUUAUCUGGAAUUAAUUUGAACACUGGAAAAUUGAUAACAAAGGUAUGAGAAAUAAAACUAGCCCAACUAAAUAGGGUUUAUUAAUAAGUCAUGCACUCAUGGUUAUGGUUCAGAUUACUUUUCCAUUUUUAGAAUUCAAAAAUUG